RNAcentral lists this long non-coding RNA (1161 nucleotides) under Pogona vitticeps (central bearded dragon). Its description in RNAcentral is "lncRNA (ENSPVIG00000012847.1)". Lineage: Eukaryota; Metazoa; Chordata; Lepidosauria; Squamata; Agamidae. The record is from RNAcentral.
CCCCUCCCCAAACUCUGUAAAACCUUGCAAAACCUCUUUGUCAAAGGCAACCCAUGGGAUGACUGUACACAACACAGGCAACAAUGGCUUUCCCACUCCUCUUUCAACACUCUAUGAACUUCACACGCCUGUGGAGACAAGUCUGCCAGCGAGACACUUCCAUGGCAAUGUUCUUUUUAGGGAGCCCUAGCAACUGACUGAGGAGCAGUGAAUAAUUUACUAUGCAGUUUUCCAGUUUGGCCCUCUAUAAAUAGUCGGAGAGAUUUCCUCUUUAAGUUGGCUUUACUUAUUACUGUGGCUCUCAGUGGGGUGGGGAUAAACCAUAUUUCUUCCAUGGGGUGCUGGUACAGAGCACUUUUCAAAGUGGAAUUAUGAGCAGCAGACCUCUUGGGAGAAAAGGGAGAGAGGACAGGAAGAGGUUGUGGCAGGGGGAGAACGUCCAACAUUUCAGCAUAAACAAGGCAUAUAACUCCAUCUACCUGAGGGAUGCAUGCUCGGUUCAUAUAACACCAUUCCCCAGUGACAGAGCAACAUCCUGCACUAGACAAGAAGGUACAUGCCCUCCAAGGAAGUUUCCAAAAUCUUGAUCAUACUUGCCAGUGUCAGCUGGAUUCUUCACCUGGCAAGGAAACUGCUGAAGGAAGAGGUCUGCAGCUGCACAGACGGAUCAGAGGAGCAGAAAUAAGGUUACACAAGAAACAAGUACAAAUAAGGACGCUGUUUCAGUUCACAAAAUGAAACGUAAUUCACUGGUGCUCUAGGGAGAACAAGUCAUAACCCAGACAGCCCUGAUGUCUUUACCAAUCCAAGAACCCUGAGGAAAGAUGCUGAUUCUGUCACCUCCCCAUUUCUAAUCUCAUGGCCCACCCUCUGUCUCUUCCUGCUGUGUUCAAAACCAGAGCUCAGCAUGCUGCAUCACUAUAAUAUUAGAAGACUUGGAGGCAGCUCACAAACGUAUCAAAGUAGCUGAUCAAUCAAACCAAUAUGUGAAAGGAAAGUGCCUGAGCCAAGCAUGUUUUCUAUGCUAUAUCCAUUAAAAAUCAGCCCCAGAAUUCAGGAUACGGCAGCCAGCCGACCUGCUGUCAUUUGCUGUUAAAUCUGACGUAAAACAACUCACAAUGGCAGUGUCACCACUAUUAUUAGCCAGAAAUAAGAAAAUUU